Molecule: long non-coding RNA, 3249 nt
Organism: Canis lupus familiaris (dog)
Lineage: Eukaryota; Metazoa; Chordata; Mammalia; Carnivora; Canidae
Exons: 2
Source: RefSeq, a predicted model, not a curated record
AGGGAGCUGGGCCUGGGGGCUGGCCCCUGGGCACUCAGAGAAGUGGUCUCCAUACCUGCUGUGGGGAGGGCCAGGUGUGUGUCUCCUGAAUUGGGUUGGGGGGUGUCCUGUCCUUCAGCAAGGACUCCAGAGGUGAGGAGCUCUGGGACGAUAGCCUGCUUUCUAUAGGAGGAUGGUCUGAUCUGGAGCGAAUUGGAGGGGUGCUCCUCACUCACACCCCCAGGCCAGGGCUCCGACAGUCCUGAAGGUUUCUGCGGGGCUGCAGGUAGUUGCUGGGGACAAAGCAAGGUCAGGGAGGGAGUUUGGGCAGCAGAGGAAGGGGUUGACCAAAUUGAGCAGGAAGAGGGAAGAGGAGGAGGAGGAGGAGGCCACCAUGGGUUGAAAACAAGGGAGGGAGAAGAGCCCAGUGGCCUUGGCCGGAGGGGAGGAGGCUGCUGGGUCGACGGCACCACAGAACCUCAUGAAUGCUGGAGACUCCAUUUUGGGGCCAACGGGGCUGCCCCUGGUCCUCUCAGCCCUGCUCUCUGCCCAGUGGCUGCUUGGAGGGGUCAGGCAUGUGUCGUGCUCAGCGGCUCUGACAAGACAAGAGCCUCCCUUCCCUGAGACCAAGAGCUAGAGCCUGAACCCACCCCUGGAGCCAGCCUUUGGAUAACAAUGGUGAGUUGAUGGAAGAAGAGGCCUUCUUCCUGGCUACCAGGUUCAGUACAGGAAGACGCAGAUCCUUCCUGGCCCAGAAACAGCCUGCCUGCUGCCUGCCCAACAAUGGCAGGUGGGGUGUCGCCAUCCUCGAUCACAGGGUGGCUGGAGCCUGAGAGCAGAGAUGAUGCCCUUCCUGAGGCUUUUGCUACUCCUCGGUAAGCACACAGAGACACAUUCCUGUGUCAAGGAGUGGCUCAGGAGGGGACCCUUCUUGGAUGCUGGGGAGUCACCUGGAGGCUCUUCCUGUCCACGCAGUGGCCUUUCUCCUUGGCGGAUUGUGGAGCCCAGUCAGCGGCUCUGCCUUCGCUGUCUCGUUCGCUGGUUUUGGCACCAGACCUAAGGGGCAAAAGAAGAAGCAACGGUCAGGUAACACGCGAAGGCAGCUUAUCCCACACAUGGCAGGGACUCGAGGACCCAAGACCAACUAACACCCCACUGAAAGCCAGAGCUGGCUUGUUGCCUACACUGUUACAUGUAUUUGCAUGGCCCUUUGGUGUACAAGGAAGAAGGCGUUGGUCUCCCCUGAGGAGCAUGAACUGUAGGUAAACACACAAUGGAUGGUGUUGGUAGAACAGUCAUUUCUUCUUUGGUCAUCUGCAUGGACAGAUGAUGGGGUUCCUGCUGCAGUCCCCUGUAGGGAGCUGAGGAGACGUUGACUGACCCAAGAAGACACUGGAAAUGGGUGUCAUUCUCGUCACAAUUGGACCCUUGUGCAGGCUUCCUCUCUGCUGGUGGCAAAAGACAAAAUGGUCGUCAUGGAUUGGCACCUAUUCCUCUCUAUGUGUCUCUUCCCCUCCCGUGUAGGAGGACUCACGGUGUUUCAUGUGGUAAAAGCGAUUGGCCAUGGCACAGGAUCUCUGGGGACAGUCAGCCCAUGGGCAUGAACCCGUCAUCAGGCCUCAGGCCUUGGACCCCAGUGUUCCCUCAUCCAGUGAACGAAGGUCUCAGAAGGACCUCCAAGGGCAAGGGCUCCUAGAGCCCGCACAUCCCCACGCCAUAGGUUCUGAGCUCCCCAGCUGAGCACGCAGAAGGACAGGCAAUGGCCUAGCCCCAUGUGUUUGCAUGCCUCCUCCCCCAGAGACUAUGAGAAAAGCACUGGGUCUGCCUAGCUGGAUUCUAGAUUCGGGGAUGGUCAGCUCUCGGGCCAGGUGUUCUCUGGCAGCAAUGACAGGGUAAGGGUCUCCUGGAAGAAUGCCUGCAGGGCCCCCAUCUGCCUCACCAUCAAUACGAGCCUCGUUUGUCGGGGUCCUCAUGGGAGUGGGACUGUGUGGGGAAGAGGGCAGCCACAGGAGGAAGGCAUUCAGAGGAGCAUUGACCAGCAAUGUGCUCUCAGCACUCCCCUUUCUGGGAUGUCGAAAACAUCCCCGUCCAGGAAUGACCUCCCCUUUGCCACUUAUGGUCCCACCUAAGCCUGAGGGGGCUGUUCCACAGGACAUAGGCAGUUCCCCAUCUGCCCUUGGGAAUGGGUGUUCGUCAGGGAUCUAGGGAAAGGGCAGCCUUGAGCUACCUAUGUGAUUCCAGGCCAAGGCUUGGAGAAGACCCUGAGUGGAGAUACUGGUGGGGGUCAGGGUCGAGGAGGGGGCGGGGGAAGGGUGAAAAGCCCAUUGGGAAAACCAAAGAGGACCACAUGUCCACGAGGAAACCUGAAGGGAAUAUGUGAAAACCCAUGCCCAUAGUGGGUCCAUUGACGUGAAAGUUCUACAGUCGUCAACCCAUCAAAGGAAGUGAUCCACCUUGACUUGCUCUCUGUGCCCUGAGAUCCAGCUGGCGGCCUUACAGAAGGGGGACUCUUGCUGGGAAUCUCGGCCCAGUCCAGGGUUUCCCUCCUCCCGCAGCCCUAUGCAAGCCCCACUCCUGCCCCUUCACCCAGACACCAGGGGAGCCCAGCUGUCCCAUGAGCGUCCCACCCAUUAAGGCAGUCACUUCUCCUUUCCUGAAGCCCGGUAUGUCCUCUGAGCCCUUGGGGCAUCUCGGCAGGUGCGGAUCCUGUGAUGGCCACUCACAGCCAGGGGUGCUCCUGGAAGCCAUGCUGCAGGCGGCCCUCGGCUUGAGUGGCGCCGGCAGGUCAACUGGACAGGACCCAGCACGCGGGACGUACUCCGGCCUGGGAGGGCCCAACCCAGGAUGGCCCACCCCUUGGUCUUCCCUCAGCUCCCUGGGUGGCCCCACCCCCAGUGGGGCUGACCAUCGGUGGACAAGGGAGGUCUCCCUGGACCGGACCUUGGGACCACCAGAAGCAACAGUUGGAGCUGGGCCUGUGUCUGAUGGGCCUGCACCCUUCCCUUAGAUGACCAGCGCCUUCCUGGCACCCACAAGCCUCUCGGGAUCUCAGACCUGAAAUAGAACCGUGCCCUGGAGCCCCUGUGCACCGUGUCUUUGGCCGGACUCCUUCGUGGCCCUCGUACAGUCGCUCAGGAUUCUGGACCGAUGUUGUGGAACUCUGGCCACCUCUGGCCUCCCAGCACGAGCCUCCUGCUUCACCUUCCUAGAAAGUCAUUUUAAUUUUUUUCUUUAUUUUUAUAAUUGUUUUAAUUAAAGUUGUGUGGUUUA